ACUUGUCGCGUCAUUGUCUUUCGCCACGCAUGUCCGUGUCCCUUGUUGUGGGUAUCUGUAAGUUGCAUGCCUGUGUUUUUUACCUUCGACUAUUAAAGUCCUUUUGUUCCUGCAAGUCUGCAUUUUGAGUCCUGCCUCCCACCCGCACCCGUGACAGAAUCAUACAGCCGUUCAAGAAGCACGUGAGCAAGGACAUUACUUCCUGGGCAUCCUCCUUCUAGGCUGGUGAAGGCAGAUAUUGCUAGCCACAGAGUCAGGUAGGAAAGUCUAAUAUAACCAGCCUAGAAGAAGGAUGCAAAAGUAAGGAUCCUUUCUCAUCUGCUACUACUACAAAACCUAUAAGGUGCCAAAUCAACAAUGCCAGUACAUGCCUGAAAAACUGACCUAUUUUGUUUGUUUUUCUGUUGUGUUCUUAAGUAACCACAACAGAUGGAGUGAUCCGUUGCUAUAAGGAUGUCCUUCGUAUCUUCAAAAAGUGUGGAUCCAUGAAGAAAGCCUUUGCGAAAAUGAAUGUUGAUCGAAACACAAUUGCACGCACAGCUAUAAUUGCUGAGCUAGCAAUUACCUUUCAGGACGCGUUCCAAGGUCUGCUGACAGGUGACGAAGAUCAAAUGAAGAUUUGUGUGCUUGCAGAGCGUUGUCGCGGGGCCAUAAACGAGGAGAUGGCCGAAACCAUCACAGCAUGCAAAAAAAAUGGAAAGCUCCUCCCAAUAAUGUAUAAAUAUACUUAAGAAUAUUCAUUUUGUUCACACUUGUUUACAUUUUGUUAAACAAUUGUUUAAACUUUGUUAAAAAGUUAAUCUAUUUAUAUACACAAUACAUGUAGGAAUUUUGGAAGUUUGUUUUUUCUGCUUCAUCUUAAGAUGAGUGGCAUCACAACAAAAUGUUUUGUGUUGAAAUACAUAAAGGAAAACUAUCUCUUGA
This is a non-coding RNA of Gasterosteus aculeatus aculeatus (three-spined stickleback), 924 nucleotides long. NCBI's taxonomy places the organism in Eukaryota, Metazoa, Chordata, Actinopteri, Perciformes, Gasterosteidae. The record is from RefSeq and is a predicted model, not a curated record.